This is a non-coding RNA of Equus caballus (horse), 3876 nucleotides long. The record is from RefSeq and is a predicted model, not a curated record. Lineage: Eukaryota; Metazoa; Chordata; Mammalia; Perissodactyla; Equidae.
CCUCCUUGAAAUUCCAUCCACCAAUGACACAGGCUUAGUCUGGACCAAGGAACCCCAAAGCCAUGGGGCAGCAGAGAAACUGGAACAGAGAAACGGGGAUGACAGCAGAAAAACACUGGAGAACGAUAGCAGUAAUACGUCGACUCAUUAGGCACAUACUGUGUCCCAAACUUCACUCUAAGUGCUUCAAAUAUUGACAUAUUUAGUCUUCACAGCAACAUGUAAGGUAGGUAUUAUUAUAGCCAUUUGACGAAUGACAGAAUUGAGGCACAGUUUGGACAUAAAAACUCAGAGAAAGAACAAAUAGCAGGAUGCCAUUUGGUGCCAGAGACAGAACGAUUGAUUAGCUGCUAAUGAUUAAGGACUCAGCGGGAUAAAACUGAUAAAAUCGUGCUUCACAGAGACAACGCUCCACUGCUCUGUUGUCUGCUUUUCCACGGAAGGCGGCAUCUCCCUCCCGCUGCCCGCAGACCAUGAGAAGAUUUGCUGACGGGCUCCAAGCCCUCAUCUGAAGGCUGCGCCACAGGCCACAGGGUCUGCGAAAUGAGCGUUGGGUACUCCCACCCUUCUUACUCCUUCAGGUCCAAGAAGAUCAAGUUGAGUCCUUCACACCUUCAUCUUCAGCCUUCACCCGAGGGUGAGCACACCCUUCCCGCUCUCCAGCUGGGCACAAGGCAAAGUUUAUACGGACCCGCCCUUCCUAUGCCACCUAAGCCACGAAGCCAAGUCUCACUGUGUCUCGAAGCCUCCCUCAAGCCUUCAAGGCACACCUGACUUCCUAGGCUCUUAUCACCCCACCUUCUUCCUAGAAACCAAUGUAACGUCAUGAAGUUGUCACUUGAAUUAACUGUGAUCCUGGAGCCCUAAAGGUUGGGAAAUAUGGCUGCUGAAGGCAUUUCCCUCUAACGGCUCCAGAAAGUGGACAAGAAGGUUAACAAGUGGUUGUAAAACGGUCAAUUUGCAGGUUGCUGGAUGCAGCAAAACAAUGCCUGAUGGCACCCAGAAUCUUUCGCAGUGAGGAAGGAGGGAUUUCUUGAGCAUCAAGUCUCUCCCCUAGAGUCCAUCUCGCCGAAGAAGUGCCUCUCGCGCAAACCCUGGUGAGGUGUCUGCCUCCAAGGCUGGCGGUGAGGAACGUUGAUGGAGCUCCCAGCGUUGUGUCAAAUUCGUCCAUCAGCAGCUUAUUGUCAGCUCCUGCGUGGGAGGCCCCGGUCCAGGCACGCAGACAGAGCAGGGACAAAGCAGCCCAUCCUGCCUUCACGGAGCUCACGGUCGAUAAACAACAUGUCCAGAGAGAUUGGUGGUUCUGUUCCCAACCAUCAACAGCGACUGAUGGGAUGAGCAAACUGGAGGAAAGCGAAGAAGAAUGAAAUCCUGUGAUUACCCCUGGGGGUCCCAUGGGAAAAAGUAUGUCCUUGUAACACCACCCCAUGGGCAGGAGAUGGCAGCUCAGAUGCUUACUAUCAAAGACAGCAUCAGUAGUCUUCAGUUCUCUCCAUAGAAAGGGCAUAAGUUCUCUGCUUUAAAGUUUAGCAGGAUCGUCAAUCUUACAGCCUCUAUUUGGAAUAAUUUGGCAAAUGCCCACAGCAAGAAAACACUAGCCUAAAAUGGGCCAGCAGGCCGAAGGAGAGAAAGCUAGAGAGUAUUACCUUUAUUUUCGACAUUAUAGGACCGUGACAAUAUCUAUUAAGUUCCCAGGAAAUUACGAUUAUUUUACCUUUCUAAAGACGCUCUUGAGUGGUCCCUGAUUUCAUUAGCAGCAGCCUCUGAAAAAACAACAAACCUUAUUGGCUGAGAAAUUCAAACUCUAACCGCCGACAGGCACAUUAGAGGGGACAGGACGAGAGGCGUCUGGUAGACGGAGGCAGAGAGAGGAGGAGCUGCGGUGAAUGACGGAAAAGAAGCCGGCUCUCUCGGGAGGGAUGUGAGUCGGGCUCAUGUGAACGGGUACCUGUUUUUCUCUAAUUUACACAGUUCAAUUUCCACUCUUUGUGACUUCAAGAAACAAAGUAAGUUAUGUGAGCCAAUUACCUAUGUGCAUUUUCCUCUUCAUUUCUCUCGGGCAAAAUUCUGAUUUAAUUUCAAUCCAUAGGGCAGUUGGGCCCAUCACAUUUGAAUGAACGUGGUUCUUUGGAUGUGAGACGGCGCCAUCCCAGAUGCCUCCUCGGUGCACUAUUGUGGAUUUGGAGAGAAACAUAAUGGGUUGUACUUUUAGUGUUCAGCAAAUGGUCUCAGAAUGGCCCCCAGGCUCGCAGAUGGAUUCGGUAGCUGGCAUUCCAACCUUACAGCAUACGUGGAAUUCUGACUUGAGGACUUUGGAACGAUUCCACAGUAUCUGAGAUAGCUGUGUCAGUCCAUCAAUAUCCACACGAAAGUCUAGGAAAAUUAAAAUUCACGAAUCCAGGAAGUCAGGACAUCUGGUUUACCCGUCGCUCUCCCUCCAGCUCUGCUGCUGCACAUGCCCCCAUUUGCUCGGCGGUCAUCACGGUUUCACGCAGACGGGAUGUCUUGCUGUCGGGACUAAACACACUUGACUCAAUCAACAGAGUUAUUGUUCUGAGGCCAAAACAUCUCCGACUCAUAACCUGGCUGUUGUUUUCCAUAUUAAAUGAGUGUGGCAUUAAUUUCUAGCCCUGCCUUGGUAGAACGGAGAGGCCAGCACUAUAAGAAGAUGGAAAAAAUAAAAAUAGCAUCCUCUGCGCACUCCCCUGACAUACAUUCUCAUUUCACCAGUCACACCACAGCAGCGGAACAAAUAUUACAGGCCUGUGUAAAGUUCUAGAACUGACGCAAUAAAUGACAGGAGCGUCCUAUCCUCAGCUAUUCUCAUUUAAGAUGUUUCUUCUCUAAUGUGUUUCUCCCCUGAGUCUUUGUGAAUCCACUAAAGUAAAAACCUUUAAGAAUGUGAAAUUCAUUGGAAGCUGUCCUCCAUUUAAAGCACAGAAAUUGCUGGCUCUCACAGUCUCCGCUCUGUCAGUUUAAUUGGACACAAACACGGGUAUUUGCUGCGGCAGUCACUAAGCAGCACUGUAAAACUGGCACGCCAGCUUGGAAACCCUGCCUGAGCACUGUGCUCACUCUCCUGCUUUUUUACUGCCCCUCUUCCUCCUCAGCACAGCUCAGGCCUGCACGCCUCCAAUUACUGCCUUUCUUCUAGAAAGGAGUCAGAAAAACCACCUUUACCACCUUCUUCUUUUCUAGGACCCAAACCCAGACCGAUAGGGCAUUUGCCCCCCAGCAAAUAAUAAUCAAAUCUUGGGACCUAGGGUGUUUUCACACGGCUGCUCGUUGGCCGUGGAAACUGACUCCUGAAAGAAAGAGGAAAAUUCAGAUGUGACCUCAGUCUCUAAAUGUCAUCACCUUUAAUCCAGCAGCUCUGAAGGGGAACUAACUACCCAGAAUCCUUUGUCACAUUGGUGAGGCGUUCCAGGGUCUGGGAAGAAACUGAUGUCACUGAAGCCUGCUUCCUGGGAAAGGAGAAAAAGGCCAUAAGUGGAGCUAACGGAGAGUAAGAAGGGAUGGUUGUUGUUUCUUUUCUUUUCUUUUCUUUUAUCUUCUUUUCUUUUUACACUUUUGUAUUCAACCCCUUUCCAAGCUCCCACUUCGCCUGAGGUCAGAUAGAAUUCUGCAUGUAAACCAUGCAAAAUAGGUUUUUGGUGCAGCAAACAACAGUCAAAAAAUCCUGCUCUUUAUUCCCAGCAGAAGUAAAAGGCUCCAUGAGCAGUCGCAUUUAAACGCGAUAACCACCACAGUCAGAGCAAGGAGGGUGUCUGCUUUGGGCACCGGUAAGUCCCAGCGCAAGACCGUGACUGUUACAAAGUGGGUGAUUAUCAAAUAUGUUAUGAAGGAACGAGUAAGUAAAUGAAGACACGAAAUGUA